Fundulus heteroclitus (mummichog) is the source of this 4656-nucleotide long non-coding RNA. RefSeq lists it as uncharacterized. Lineage: Eukaryota; Metazoa; Chordata; Actinopteri; Cyprinodontiformes; Fundulidae. The record is from RefSeq and is a predicted model, not a curated record. The transcript is spliced from 6 exons.
UAUCUUGGUAACAGGACAUAAAUAGCUGGGCCUUUUAAGUAUUCACAGCACAUAAUGCAACAUUGAUGUCUUUUAUUGUAUCAUACAGACUAUGCGAGGGAAAUUGUUUUGCAAAUCUUCUUUCUCUACUCAUUCAAUCAUGCAUUUCCCUACAAUCAAUCUUCCUCUGUGUUUGACUGGUUUACCACACCCAUUUGAAUGAAACGUUCCUGAAAUACUAACCUUGCACUGAAAUGUGCAUCACUGAAAAUCAAUCAUUGCCCUCAUCUGAAGGAUGAAUUCACACAGCAAGCUGCAAUGAAUGUUUUCAUAGUUAGAAUAAAGUACAAGCAAGUUGUUUUGUUCCCACAGUCUAUGUUCCCACAGCCCAUAUCAGCUCAUUUUGGUAAUCAUCUUAAUAAGACUUAUCUCAGUUUGCCUAUUUAUUUUUAAAGCAUUGACUGUAAGAACAACAUUUCAUGCCUACUCCCUUUCAGGAUUGCACUUUUAGAAUUCUGCAUGCAAACAGUAAAAAAGAAGAUAAAACUUAACUUUGGCCUUUAGCUUUCUGGAGUUUGCAUGGUUUGAGCUGUACCACACAGAGAGCAUGCAAAUACCAAAAUACACAAUACAGUGAGGGGAGAAAGACGCCACACCAGAGGUCUCAUAGCUUUCACAGAAGAACUAACCUAAAAAACUGAAACAGCAGAUUACUCACACCCUGCAACCACAUCAGACUCCACAGCUCUCACUUCCUGUGUGGAACGCAUUUUUGUCUGUUAGUGGGCCCUUACCAAGUUUAAGCUGAGGGGGUGACUGGUCUAUUAGUAGCUGGUGGUGCAGAAGAACAAAUGGUUAUUUCCUAAAGCUGGAGGGCUUAUACACCUUCACUAUUUGUGCAGUAGCCCUAAAAGCAGAGCCAAGAGAUAAAGCAGAAACCAAAGAGCUGCUGGACCCUACACAGGUGGGAUGGUGAAUUUCUUAAGAUAUUGCUGCAUCAACUGCUCAGUGAUAUGUUGCAUCUUCUGGAUUUUCUGGCCAGCAGAGGCGAAAACAAUCACACAGACGGUUGGCAGCACAGUGACCCUGAACUGCAGCAACAACUCAAUCAGUAGACCUAGUUUGGUAAUUUGGAAAAUGAACGAAAAACUUCUUUUCAGUCUUGGAAGCAAAGGCAACAAAACUCCAUGCACUGAAAGUGUCUGUCAUAACAUAAAGAUGUCUAAAGACAGUCAGCUGUUUGCGCUCAUUAUAGAGGGCGCCCAGAAACAGCAUGAAGGAAACUACACUUGUGAGACAACUACAUCAGACGGUCCUUUUGAAGAGAAUUGGGAGCUUAUAAUUAAAGAAGAUGCUGAAAGCAAAAAACUGAAGAUCAUUGUUAUAGCAGCGGUUCCAUCUGUGUGUAUCGUGAUAUUAGUAUCUGUUUUGGUCAUUCUGACUGUUUGGAAACAGAGAAAAAAAAACAGACCUCCCACAGAAAUAAGGCAGCAAAAGCAACCAGAAGAUAUUUAUGAAAAUCACUUGGAAAUUCAGCGCCGCCAGGCUUCCCGUCACCAACCCUGAUGUUACUGUUUAAACUGCUAUCACAAUAAAUGCACACAACGUUACUUACACACAUGGUGGUCUCCUAAAUCUGUCAACAUCUUAGGAGAGUGAAAGGUAAAAAAAAAAACAACCUUAAAUGUCCUCUUUAUCAUGGUGAUGAUGAUCACUGCUACUGACAGAGGAAAGGGAGGUGAGUGGUGCUGGUUAGAACCAACUAUCAAGUUAUGGAAGAAUACUUUUGUCGAAAGGGCUUGUUUGUAAAGAAACGUAGAGGCUUAAUAUUCAGCUAAGUAAACCCUUUCUGCCAAAUUGUCUUUGCAGUAGUAGUCAAGAAACCUUCAUUUUGAACAGUUUUUGAGUUUAUUAAGCGGUUUUAGUAAAGUAUGAAAUGCUCAGUGUGCAAGGUGCAAGGAGGUGAGCAGCCCUGAAAGGAAGCAAGGUUCUGCUGUAGAAGCUGUGCUGCUUAAGGGUGGUUCUUCCCAUGGAAUUUGGAGGUCAAGUCCAAAUGUAUAAAACAAGCAGUAGCCUAAAAUAUUAGCACUUUGACCACAGCAUUUAUGGAAAGCCAUAAGACCCAUAAUUCAAUAAAUUAGAAAGUCCCAAGAUGGAUAUUUUACAAAUAUACUUUCCAUUAAGCCUCCAUUUCUGCAUUAAAUAGGUUGCUUUUGUAUUGGUCUGAUGCCCUAUUCUAGUCUUAAAUACAGUUUUUUGUAUUAGCUGGAGUUGAAAAAAACAAUUAUUAUUAGAAAUAAAGGCUUCAAAACAUCAUCAGUCUGUGUACAUCUAAAUAACGUGUUUCCCUUAGUGAAUAGUUACCUGAAUUCAAUUAACUUUUAGUGAGCCGAUGGGGCACCUUGACACCUUGAUCUCUGCUACCUUCAGCUCCGCCUUUUGUUUCUUCCUCAGUCCUCAGUACCUCACUGUCUCUAAACCACACAACAUUGCUGGUCUCACCACCGUCUUGUACAUCUUUCCGUUCAUUCUUCCUGAUGCUAUUACACUAAACUCCUGACCCUUUUCUUCACCCGUUCCAACCUGCACGGCAACAUUUCUUUACCUCUUUUCUACACUCACUGUUGAUCUUUACUGUACACCUUAAAUAAUUAAAAUCAUCCAUCUUCUUUAUCUCUAGUCCAUGUAACCUCACAGCUCCACUUGGUCCCUCUUGUUGAACCACAUAUUAUGUCUUGCUAGGGCUAACCUUUAUUUCUCUCCUUUCCAGGGCAAACGUCCAACUUUCUAGAUUUUCCUCCACCUGUUCCAGAUCACAAAAUCAUCUGCAGACCAUAGAGAGUCCUGUCUGACUUCGUCUAUCAACCUGUUCAUCACCACAGCAAACAAGGAGCUCAGAGCAGAUCCUUGAUGCUGUUUUACUUUCACCUUGAAAUCCUCUGUUACACCUAUAGCAUACCUCACCACUGUCCUACAGCUCUCAUACAUAUCCUUCACCUCUCUAACAUAUGUCUCUGCUACCCCAGCUCCUUUCUGGGCACCCUGUCUGUCAUAUGCCUUUUCUAGAUCUACAAAAAUACAAUGCAGCAUCUUCUGAUAAAAUUGUCAGAUUUGGACAGAGAUUGUUCUUCCAUCAUGAAGACGACCCUAAAUACAAAUCUAGAAUUGCAAUUGAACAGUUUGGAUUAAAGCAUGUUUAUUUGUUAGACUGUCCAGAUAAAAAUCUAGACCAAGGUUUAAUAUGCAAAUUGUGGCAAUACCUCAACAACAUACCUCAACAUGUUCAUUUUAUGCUCACCAUCCAAUCAGACUGAGCUUGAGUCUGAAUCAAUGAAUCAUAGAUGAAACAUUCAGUCUUUCAAAGUACAAAACAGAUAGAGACAUGUCCCAGUAGGUGGUUUUAAUAAGGAUUGACUCAGUUGUGCUGAGUGUAAAUGCACAUCUCUAUUUUCAGAUUUUUAUUUGCACUACUUUGCGUUGGUCUGUCAUAUGAAGUCCCAACAUUCAAGAAUAACCUAAACCGCGACAUAAAUGGAAAAGGUUGAACAAAUGUGAAUGCCUUUGCAAUUCACCGUUGGGUGUAAGAAACCUUUAUAAAAACCUCAAGCCUUUAAAUAGUGAAAGGCCCCCCGUUUGUGAAUCAUGGAGUUCUUGUUUAAUGUACGCUGACAAGUCACAGCUUCCUGUGACUUGUUCAAACUGGACUGGCAAGAACUUAAAACCCAGACAGGAAACCAGGGGUGUUCAGACAACCUGAUCCCCCACACAUGCAUUCCUGCUCAAGAAAGAAAGGCGUGGCGUAAAGAAACAGUUGAGUGAAUUCAAUUAAACUCUCUUAUAUCAGAAUGUCAACAAAGAAUCUGUGAAACGGUGUGAAGGAAACUUUUGCGCAAAAAACAAAACAAAAGCUUUUUAAACUGUAUGCUAAUGUGCAACUCAGCAUUUUUAAAGAUUUCUUUACCGGUAUGAACCAGAGAAAACCCAUUCUGUUUAGUGAAGGACAGGAAACUAUUUUUUCUGUUUGUAAAUGAAUGGAAAAGAAUACAUUGACAUAAAACAGCUUACCUCUGGCAAACAAUAGAAAUAAACACAACAGCUGCUACUACUUUCACUACUUUGUCCUUUGUACUUUACUUGAAUGCACAAUAACCUGCUAGCUACACUUUCACAAUCAGCAGAGGAAAACUCUCCCUCGUUACCAUGACAGCAACCUUGUGAUGGCUUCCUCCCACACGACCACUCAGUCACUCAGCAGUCAUGAGGCCUUAGUCUGUUUACCCUCACACUUGGUUAGCUAUAGCUCUAUAUCCAUCCUCAAGGUGGGUGGGUGUUAAACACAGUGACACUAAGCAAUUUUUUUUUUUAGAUCUACUUUUAAUAGAGAAGGAGUCAUGACAAACAUCUACAAUGGAAACCAAUUAAUCAAGAAAAAACUAAACCAAUCACAGGCACUUAAAAAAAAGGCAUGAACAAAAUGAAAUUUGUUAAGCUACUGGUAAAUACAUAACGACAAAACUGUUUCUUUAUUCUGCCAGCUAAUGCCUAGGAAACAAAUAUUUGUAUAAUCAAAACAGGAUUUUACUCGACGAAACAGAAACAGGUAACUAGAACAGAAAGGACAAAAGUAAAAAUACAUUUGUAUAUUUUGAGAGGUAUACACGGAAUAAACAAAAAAAA